Molecule: non-coding RNA, 96 nt
Organism: Mycena rebaudengoi
Lineage: Eukaryota; Fungi; Basidiomycota; Agaricomycetes; Agaricales; Mycenaceae
Source: the annotation of a GenBank genome assembly
GCGUCUGUGGUGUAGCGGUAACAUUGGGUCUUCCCAUAAGAAAUAGCAUUAGGCCUUUGACUGGCCUAGCUCCGGGUUCGACUCCCGGCGGACGCA